UCCUGUAUCGAAAGUGACUAUGGUGUGUUUGUGGCCAGGUCAUUGAUAGUACAGGAAAAUCAACCUAAGGAGCAUUUCCCGUGUUAAAAGGAUGUUUUGGUUCCUUUUCAACCCUGACGCUCCCUGACA
Cololabis saira (Pacific saury) is the source of this 129-nucleotide small nucleolar RNA. RefSeq annotates it as small nucleolar RNA SNORA71. The record is from RefSeq and is a predicted model, not a curated record. Lineage: Eukaryota; Metazoa; Chordata; Actinopteri; Beloniformes; Belonidae. The transcript has a single exon.